GACGUAGGGCGCGAGCGUUGUCCGGAUUUAUUGGGCGUAAAGAGCUCGUAGGCGGUCUGUCGCGUCGGCUGUGAAAACCCGGAGCUCAACUCCGGGCCUGCAGUCGAUACGGGCAGACUGGAGUUCGGCAGGGGAGACUGGAAUUCCUGGUGUAGCGGUGAAAUGCGCAGAUAUCAGGAAGAACACCCGUGGCGAAGGCGGCUCUCUGGGCAGUAACUGACGCUGAGGAGCGAAAGCGUGGGGAGCGAACAGG
RNAcentral lists this ribosomal RNA (253 nucleotides) under uncultured bacterium. Its description in RNAcentral is "partial 16S ribosomal RNA". It matches the Rfam family "Bacterial small subunit ribosomal RNA", at positions 524 to 776 of the family's 1533-position model. The record is from RNAcentral.